UUUUUUCAUACUUUUUUUGUGGUUUUGUUUUGUCAGACUGCUUUUUAGUCUGCUUUUUUUGCCUGUAAAACAAGCCUUAGCCGCUUGAACAUAGGCCCGUUUCUGGGGAAGUUUCGGGGUUACAGAGUCUGGAACCGCUGAUGUAGCUCAGAUAAGAAAGCGAUAGCAGUGAUUGGAGUAGCCGUGCGGUGGACCAAGCGUGAUUGAGUAGCCGUGCGGUGAACCAAGCACUUUUCGUUGGCCGCUUAUCGAGAGGCAACAGGGAGGGCCGUAGGGAGUUCCGGGCGGUACUGAGGUGGUUCAGAUGACCAUAGGUAGGUGGAAACACCUCAUGUGAUGAGAAUGAGGACGGAUAUUGGGUCCAAUCACGGCGACUGAAGGAGCCGAGUUGCCGAACAUGAUGCGAGAAUGAUAUAAAUACUGACUUGAAGACUUCAUUCUCGGUAUCAAACACCUGAGUUACAACUUCAACUACAACUACAACCAACUACAACUAUGGGAUUUCUCUGCUUUUCGCGAUCCACCAAGAACACUUCCACUGCCAGUCUCCCCGUCCUGUCCCGGUCUCCUUCCAAGCCCAAGGCUGAAGUCAUUUUCAUUGAAUCCAAGCCUGUUUUCGAGUCCAAGCGAGCUCGUAGACGACGACGAAACGGGGGAGACGGUGGGGGAUUCUUUGGAGGAGGGUUCUUUGGGGGUUUUGAUGGGGGAGGAGGAGGAAGUUGCGACGGAGGUGGUGGUUCCUGUGGAGGAGGAGGAGGAGGAGGAGAUGGCGGUGGCGGAGGAGGAGGAGGGUGUUAAUUGGCAGAUAAUUGAUUGUUUGACAACU
This 826-nucleotide unclassified non-coding RNA is filed under the name Yarrowia lipolytica. The record is from RNAcentral. Lineage: Eukaryota; Fungi; Ascomycota; Dipodascomycetes; Dipodascales.